Molecule: long non-coding RNA, 1031 nt
Filed under: Vigna radiata
Lineage: Eukaryota; Viridiplantae; Streptophyta; Magnoliopsida; Fabales; Fabaceae
Description: long non-coding RNA (VRAD_LNC005451)
Source: RNAcentral
CCAGCAUUGACUUUCUCAAAUUCAUUUCUAGAAACCACAGUUCAUAGCCGUGAAAUAUUUUUAAAUGAAAAAUUAUUUGCAUUUUUUAAAGAGGUUUUUUGAAAAGAAAUAAGUUGAAAGCUUGUUGAGUAGACUUUUAGGAAAGAGAGGUGCAACUCAAUGGAAAACUUAAAGUACAUUGUCUUUCCUUAGCAAAACUAUUCCCUAACUAGUUUAAUAAAUUUCAAAUAAUUAUCAUCUCAAGACAUUAAUCCAGCAAUCAGAUUUUCACAACCCAACGAUUUCACCAUCAUAUAUUUUGAACAAAGAACAUAGAAUAAUCAAAAGAAAGUUAACAUCUACUUACAAUAUUAGCAUUUGCACCUUCACAAAUUUAAUACAAGAUCACAGACCAUUUUCAUCAACAAUGUUCAAACAGAAAACCAAUAGAAAGGAUAGUUCCCCUUACACCACAACAAUAUUAGACCAUCAAUGCCUAUAAUAACAAAGAAAUAUCAGCUCCCCUUACCUCUUAAAGAACUACUUUGAUCAUUUAUUUAUGAAAUUUGAGCAAUACCUCCCUUCUCUACCCUUCAAAACCUUCUACACUCAAUCUAAACACCUUUCAGAAGCUCUCACAACUUUCUCUAUUACUUAGAUCCUAGCCCUUCAAUCUCCUUAUUUGCUACUAAAUUCUUGCUCUCUCUUCACCACUUUCACUCCCGAUGAUGAAAAACUUCAUUUCUUCACCCGUAUUUAUAGUUAAAAUUUGGGUUACUACAACAGUACUGUAGUUGUAUUACAUUUUGCUAUAGUUGUACUGUAGUAGUACUGUAGUUGUACUACAUUGUUACUGUAGCAGUACGGUAGCAACACGCUUUUCAUGAGAGUAUAUUACGAUAGCAUCAUACAUAUUUAUUGUAGCAUUAUACGUAUUCACUAUAGUAUCAUACGUACUUUACUGUAACAUUAUACAUAUUUUUCUAUACCAUAAAAAGUUUAUCUGUUUUCUUAAAUAUAACUAGUUUUCAAGGGUUUUAUAGGAACGACCA